CGCACAUUGCGCUCCCUGGUAUUCCUAGGAGCAUGUCUGUCUGAGCGUCAGUACAAACCCUCCGUGAAACCCUUUCUUUUGAGGGGGGUUCAUCGGGUAUUGAACGCCGGCGGUGGGCUUCUCGCCUCUGCCCGUUCCAAAGUGGUAAAGUCAGCGGUCCACCGACACCUCCCAAGAAAGACGUAGUAAAUCUUACCCAUCGUCCUCGACUGGAAACGAAGGUGCGACCCGCCUCAAAAUCGCAAAACUUUCUAAGGUUUGACCUCAGAUCAGAUAAGGAUACCCGCUGAACUUAA
This 296-nucleotide unclassified non-coding RNA is filed under the name Ascomycota sp. Its description in RNAcentral is "partial contains 5.8S ribosomal RNA, internal transcribed spacer 2, and large subunit ribosomal RNA". Lineage: Eukaryota; Fungi; Ascomycota. The record is from RNAcentral.